ACAGCAUGACUAAGGUAAAGAAGAAGAGGAUAUAUUAAUUAACAUGAUUCAUAACACAGCAUGACUAAGGUAAAGAAGAAGAGGAUAUAUUAAUUAACAUGAUUCAUGACACAGCAUGACUAAGGCAAAGAAGAAGAGGAUAUAUUAAUUAACAUGAUUCAUAACACAGCAUGACUAAGGUAAAGAGGAAGAGGAUAUAUUAAUUAACAUGAUUCAUAAUGCAGCAUGACUAAGGUAAAGAGGAAGAGGAUAUAUUAAUUAACAUGAUUCAUAAUGCAGCAUGACUAAGGUAAAGAGGAAGAGGAUAUAUUAAUUAACAUGAUUCAUAAUGCAGCAUGACUAAGGUAAAGAAGAAGAGGAUAUAUUAAUAACAUGAUUCAUAAUGCAGCAUGACUAAGGUAAAGAGGAAGAGGAUAUAUUAAUUAACAUGAUUCAUAACACAGCAUGACUAAGGUAAAGAAGAAGAGGAUAUAUUAAUAACAUGAUUCAUAAUGCAGCAUGACUAAGGUAAAGAAGAAGAGGAUAUAUUAAUAACAUGAUUCAUAAUGCAGCAUGACUAAGGUAAAGAAGAAGAGGAUAUAUUAAUAACAUGAUUCAUAACGCAGCAUGACUAAGGUAAAGAAGAAGAGGAUAUAUUAAUAACAUGAUUCAUAACGCAGCAUGACUAAGGUAAAGAAGAAGAGGAUAUAUUAAUAACAUGAUUCAUAAUGCAGCAUGACUAAGGUAAAGAAGAAGAGGAUAUAUUAAUAACAUGAUUCAUAAUGCAGCAUGACUAAGGUAAAGAAGAAGAAGAAGAACAAGAAGAGGAACAAGACCAGGAGCAUUAUCUAGGGUCUGUGUAAAGCCUUUCUCUAAGCCCGCCCUGCACGCGGAGUUGUUGGUUGUGACGCCGCACGUCUCGGUGCUCUGAGCCAGAGCCGGAGGGCUUCCUGGCCCGCCGCUGCCCCUCCAUCUACGGGGCCAGGCUCUGGAGAUUCUUCUCAGCCUACUGGAGGGAUCUGAGGGAAGGAAAAGGGAAAUCAAUCAAAGUUCUUCCUCACUAAAGAUGUCACUUAAUAUGAACUAAAUACUGGCAGCCUCUUUGCUAUUUUUUGCCUUCAUUAAAUUCCUGGAGGGUCUGAGAGGAGGAAAAAGGAGUAUGAGUAACAGCAAAGGCACAGCUCUGCCUCACCAUAAGAUGUCAUUUACAGCAACUAAAAACACUGCGGCCAGCUUCCUAACUAUUUCUGGCCUUUGUUGAAUAUUUCCUGGAGGGUCUGGGAGGAGGGAGGGGAGAAGGGGCAGAGGGAAAGGAGGAAAGAAGGAACAGGAGAGAAGGAGGAAAGAAGGGAAGGAGUGGCAAAAUCACAGCUUUUCCUCACCAAUUGAUGUCAUUUAUACCAACUAAAAAAUGCUGGCAGGUUCCUAACUAUUUCUUGCCCCUGACAUAUUUCUGAUGCUGGCAGGUUCCUACUAUUUCUUGCCCCUGACAUAUUUCUGAUGCUGGCAGGUUCCUACUAUUUCUUGCCCCUGACAUAUUUCUGAUGCUGGCAGGUUCCCAACUAUUUCUUGCCCCUGACAUAUUUCUGAUGCUGGCAGGUUCCUACUAUUUCUUGCCCCUGACAUAUUUCUGAUGCUGGCAGGUUCCUACUAUUUCUUGCCCCUGACAUAUUUCUGAUGCUGGCAGGUUCCUACUAUUUCUUGCCCCUGACAUAUUUCUGAUGCUGGCAGGUUCCUAACUAUUUCUUGCCCCUGACAUAUUUCUGAUGCUGGCAGGUUCCUAACUAUUUCUUGCCCCUGACAUAUUUCUGAUGCUGGCAGGUUCCUAACUAUUUCUUGCCCCUGACAUAUUUCUGAUGCUGGCAGGUUCCUAACUAUUUCUUGACCCUGACAUAUUUCUGAUGCUGGCAGGUUCCUAACUAUUUCUUGCCCGUGACAUAUUUCUGAUGCUGGCAGGUUCCUAACUAUUUCUUGACCCUGACAUAUUUCUGAUGCUGGCAGGUUCCUACUAUUUCUUGACCCUGACAUAUUUCUGAUGCUGGCAGGUUCCUACUAUUUCUUGACCCUGACAUAUUUCUGAUGCUGGCAGGUUCCUAACUAUUUCUUGACCCUGACAUAUUUCUGAUGCUGGCAGGUUCCUAACUAUUUCUUGACCCUGACAUAUUUCUGAUGCUGGCAGGUUCCUACUAUUUCUUGACCCUGACAUAUUUCUGAUGCUGGCAGGUUCCUACUAUUUCUUGACCCUGACAUAUUUCUGAUGCUGGCAGGUUCCUAACUAUUUCUUGACCCUGACAUAUUUCUGAUGCUGGCAGGUUCCUAACUAUUUCUUGACCCUGACAUAUUUCUGAUGCUGGCAGGUUCCCAACUAUUUCUUGACCCUGACAUAUUUCUGAAGUGUUCUGGGGGGAGGAAAAAGGUGACAGGAGCACUGGAGAAAGUGAAGCUCUUCCUUACUAAAAGAUGUUGAUUAAUAAUAACAAAAAAAAAUCAUUGGCAGCUUCUAUGUUAUUUCCUGCCUCUGUUAAAUUGGUAGGGAGGAGGAAGAAGGUGGUGUGUGUGUGUGUGUGUGUGUGUGUGUGGCUGGAGGGAGGCAGCUAUUAGCAAGUUCAGAACAGCAGUGACUAUGAAA
Long non-coding RNA from Eriocheir sinensis (Chinese mitten crab), 2608 nucleotides. RefSeq lists it as uncharacterized. The transcript is spliced from 3 exons. The record is from RefSeq and is a predicted model, not a curated record. NCBI's taxonomy places the organism in Eukaryota, Metazoa, Arthropoda, Malacostraca, Decapoda, Varunidae.